CCCUUAGAUGUUCUGGGCCGCACGCGUGCUACACUGAGUGGAUCAGCGGGUCAGGUUGCGCGAAAGCGUUUCCUAAUCUUUAAAUCCGCUCGUGAUGGGGAUUGACGGUUGCAAUUUUCUGUCAUGAACGAGGAAUACCUUGUAAGCGCGGGUCAUCAUCUCGCGCUGAAUACGUCCCUGCCCUUUGUACACACCGCCCGUCGCUCCUACCGAUUGAGUGGUCCGGUGAGGCUUUGGGAUCUGAGCGGAAAGAGCGUUUCGCUGUUUCUGCUCGGAAAACUCAGUCGAACCUUAUCAUUUAGAGGAAGGAGAAGUCGUAACA
This 322-nucleotide ribosomal RNA is filed under the name uncultured eukaryote. Its description in RNAcentral is "partial 18S ribosomal RNA". It matches the Rfam family "Eukaryotic small subunit ribosomal RNA", at positions 1470 to 1796 of the family's 1831-position model. The record is from RNAcentral.